Molecule: long non-coding RNA, 3469 nt
Organism: Antechinus flavipes (yellow-footed antechinus)
Lineage: Eukaryota; Metazoa; Chordata; Mammalia; Dasyuromorphia; Dasyuridae
Exons: 2
Source: RefSeq, a predicted model, not a curated record
GGAAGAUGUAGGAGCAUAUUCAAGUUGUUAACUGAGGUUUACUAAGCAAUGGAACUCUGAUUAUCUUCUUGUUAAGAAAAUGCUGUUUGAAGAGAAGGCAAAUAGUGUUUAAUGUCUUGGAAGACUGUACAGCUAGGUAACCAUCAUCAAGACCUAAUCAAAUUAGAUCAGAUCUAACAAAACAAAAACAACCACCACCACCACAAAAGCAAGAAAGAGGAAACAGUCAAAGGAAUUUCCACUCUGGACAUAAAUUUGUCUAAAAGAAAGAAAAGUUUAAAAAUAAAUGGCAAUUUUUAAAAAGAAAAGAAGGAUGAAGAAGAGACCCUUUUCCUUGGACCUCUCAGCCUUUGUACAUGAUUCCAUCUUUAUUGUUUUCUCCCAUAAUUUGCUAAUUGAACUAACUUCUCCUUAUUCUUCAUUCUAUCCUUAUCCAAUGAUAGCUUCUCUACUCCUUCCAAACAUAUCUAAAUCUUGCCUAUUUUUAUGUAUUAUCAGAGAUAGAUUUAAUCUUAACAAUCAUCAUACUAUAUUUCUCCUCUCUCCAAACUUUAAAUCCAUCCGAAUCUAAAAUCCUUUUAGCCUCAGUCUCAUUUUAAAAUCAUGUUCUUUUAUUUUUUCAAACUCUGGCAUCUGACUUCAUUAUUUAACUAACCUUCCUCCAUCAAUCCAGAGCACCUUUUCACUAUGUGGUUAAAAGAUUAUUAUUUUCUUAGUGUCACACAAUUGGUGGGGAACACAUCUUCUGAUUCCAAGGUAAAUCCAGCAAAAUAUUCUAUGCAGAUUUUUAUUAUCUACCAACUUCCCUUUAGACAGUAAUUUAAGUGUCUAGUAUAUAAUAAUUGAUAAUCAAAGCCUGUUGGUUGCUUGAUUUCAGUGUUGUAAUUAUAUGCUUUGAAUAGCAGUGAUUUAUACAUAGCCAAAUUCAACGCAUUUUCUCAGGCCUUAUGCUUCUUGGCAUUUUUUCAUCACUUCACCUCUCUUCCUAGAAAUUCUCCAUGGGUUGUUUUUGUUUGUUUUGUUUUAGGUGUUGUUGGUUUGUUUGUUUGUGGUGACAGUAUUCUAUCUUGAUUCUUUUCUUAUCUGUGUGGCUGUUUUUUUUGUCAGAUCAUGAUCCUUUUCCUGCCCUCCUUUGUGUAGGUAUAUACUAGAGCUCUCUUCAAGACCUUCUUCUUUCUCUUGAGGAUUUCAUCAUAUUCUGUGAAUCCAGUUGUCAAUUACAUGCAGGUAAUUCCCAGUUAUAUGUAUCUAGCUUCAGUUUCUUAAAUACUAAGUCCUAUUCAAUAACUGACUUUUAGAUAUUUUCAUGAUAGACCCAUGGACACCUUAAAGUUCACAGAAUUUGUUUUCUUUCUUCCCAAAUUCUCUACUUUUUGUUAACUUCCCUAUUUUGGUUAAAGGUGUAAUCCAUCUUUUCAGUUACUCAGAUUCCCACCCUCAAGAGUCAUUCUUGACUAACUCUUCUCUUGGUUCAUUUUUUACCCCUCUCAUCCAAAAUUAUGUUUUGCCAUUUGGCUCUUUGUUUUCACUCACAUUACCCUCCCUUACUUCUCCACUACCAUUUAUGCCCUCAUCACUUCUUUCUAGGAUUAUUGCCUUCUAAAUGGCUCUUUGGCCUCCUUCUUUCCACUUAUCUUCAGUGCAGUAGCUAGAUUGACAUUCCUAAAUCAAUCAUAUAAUUCCCAUGUUUAGCAAACUCUGUGAAUUCCUCUCUUGAAUAAAAUAGACUCCUCUAUUUGACUUUUUAAAGCCCUUCAUCAUCUAGCUUCAUUUUAUAUUUUCAAGUUUAUUUUACACUUCUUAAUGUGUUGUAUUUCAGAACCAGUUACUCUUCCCUGUAUAUGACAUUACUUUUACACUCUUCCUGCCUUUACCUAAACUAUCUCCCAAGAUGGGAAUUGUGUACUUCUUCAACUCUGUUUAGUAGAAUUCCUAGCUUCCUUCAAAACUCAGCUCAAGUCCUCAAAUUGUAGUGCUCUUACAUUACCUCUAUUUUUUAUUUCUUCUUUCUGUGUACAUAUUGUCACACACCUUUUCUCCCACACUGUACCCUCAAGUACCAUGAAGGCAGAAACUGUUUUGUUUUUCUCUUUGAAUUCCUAGCACUUUACACAGUAUUUAGCACAUAGUAGGCACUCAAUAAAUAUUUGUUGAUGAGUGAAAAUGAAUUGCCUCUGAACUUGUCAUGCCAGACUAACUAUAUUUGCUUUUUGGUAGGACUAAAUAGAUUGCUAAAUCACAUAAAUUCCAGAAAAUUCCAUCCUUGUAAAAGAGAUUUUGUGGAUUAUUUAAUCUGUCUCAUUUAAGUAAUCUCCCCAACUUUUCUGACAAGUGAUCAUAAAGCCCACAUUAUCAAAGAGUGCAUUAUUUCACAAAGCUGUCUACUUUUAUCCAUUAAUCCUAAUUCCUUUUCUUGAUCUACACAGAAUAAGCCUAAUUCCCUUUCUAUAUUACAAUUCUUCAAAAUCUGAUACCCUAAGUUUUCUUUAGGCUAAAUGCUUCCCAAUUCCUUCAGACAAAAUAACCUCCUAGUUUCCUUCCUAUUUCAGCAUUUCUAUAAUUCAGUUAUUCUGUGGCAGAAAGAUUAUAUGGCUCAUACUUGCACUGAUGCUGCCACCACUCUGGUGCCUUUAUUAUAUCACCUCAUGCUUUUGUUAUAACUAUAGCUGUCUUGCACUGAUGCUACCACCACUCUGGUGCCUUUAUUAUAUCACCUCAUGCUUUUAUUAUAACUAUAGUCGUCUGGUAUAUUUGGCUCCUUCAAGUCUCUUCCCAUUCAAUUUUCUAGUCAGCCUCACCUCCCUACUCAGUAAACUUCUGUGGCUUCCUGUUUUGGAUUUUGUUUAAUAUUUGUUACAUACAAAUGGUAAUGCCUAAUUUGGACAAAAUGAUGGUUUACAUUAGUCACACUUUGUGAUGCUAAUGAGGAACAAGUUCUUUUUCUUUUGUAAUAAAGAAAAAAAGUAUCUAAGCUACUAUGGUCAUUUUUUUGUUUAUUUAAUGUAGUCUUACAUAAUCAUCAUCAUUUAAUGUAAUCAAUUAUUUAUAGAGUGGUUUAAUGGAAUGUUGUUGUUUGAUUUCAUCAAAUGUUUUCCUCCAUAGUCCUACCUGUCUUCUUUAAUGUGUUAUUAUGGCACAUUUUAAAAAUUAUAAUAAGUUCAAAUUUAUUUUUGUGGUUUUUUUUAAGAUCAUCAUGUUACUUAAUAUAAUUAGAGAUAACUUUUUAAGAAAUUAUUACUCCUUACUUUCAUUUGUUAGGAAUUUGGUUAAGAUUUUGCAAAGAUUUAUGUUUGGUUCUGAUUUGGUUAUGAUAAUUUGGUUAUAAUUAUACAAAGAUUUAUGUAAAUGCUUUGCUUUUUGUACCUCAGUCAGGCCUAACAGCCUGAAAACACCUAUUUAUAAAAUGUAUUCCACUUAUAUGUUGUUGGAGUUCAUACAGACUUUAAUAAACUUUUUGCUUUUUACCAUA